AGUGAACGCUGGCGGCGUGCCUAAUACAUGCAAGUCGAGCGAACAGAUAAGAAGCUUGCUCCCUUACCGUUAGCGAGUGACGGGCGAGUAACACAUAGAUCGCCAUCUACUUUUUCGUGGGUGACAACGUAAAGAAGCUUCUGCUACUACCUCAUACGUCCUACGGGUGGAUGUAGUGGAUCUGCGGACUUUUCCCGAUUCAAUUAGCCGGUGCCGCAUUAGCUAGUUGGUUAGGUAAAGGCCCACCAAGGCGACGAUCCGUAGCCGGCCUGAGAGGAUGAUCAGCCACACUGGAACUGAGACACGGUCCAGACUCCUACGGGAGGCAGCAGUGGGGAAUCUUCCACAAUGGGCGAAAGCCUGACGGAGCAAUGCCGCGUGAGUGAUGAAGGUCUUCGGGUCGUAAAACCCUUUUAUUAGGAAAGAACAAAAGUGGAAGAAACUAUCCACGUUUUGACGGUACCUAAAGAGAAAGCAACGGCUAACUUCGUG
This 492-nucleotide ribosomal RNA is filed under the name uncultured bacterium. RNAcentral describes it as "partial 16S ribosomal RNA". It matches the Rfam family "Bacterial small subunit ribosomal RNA", at positions 29 to 507 of the family's 1533-position model. The record is from RNAcentral.